Molecule: small nuclear RNA, 191 nt
Organism: Schistocerca cancellata (South American locust)
Lineage: Eukaryota; Metazoa; Arthropoda; Insecta; Orthoptera; Acrididae
Product: U2 spliceosomal RNA
Exons: 1
Source: RefSeq, a predicted model, not a curated record
AUUCUCUCUAAGGGUUGUCUCAUCAGAUAAAAAAAUCUGUUCCCAUCAGCUUAAUAUUUGUUGUGUCUUGCAUCAUAGGUCUAGAAUAUUAAACUCAUUUUUGGCUCAUGACGGAGAGCUAAGAGCAUGCUGUACCUCCGACACACGAUGCCUCAUCACUUUCCAUGUCCCUUGAGGUAGACAGAUGCCUC